Long non-coding RNA from Chenopodium quinoa (quinoa), 2246 nucleotides. RefSeq lists it as uncharacterized. The record is from RefSeq and is a predicted model, not a curated record. NCBI's taxonomy places the organism in Eukaryota, Viridiplantae, Streptophyta, Magnoliopsida, Caryophyllales, Amaranthaceae. The transcript is spliced from 2 exons.
CUCUUAAAUGGUCCAUCAUAUAACCUAACUUACUUAAAAGACUAACUUAUCCUUGAAAUAAUUAAAACCCUCCCAUUUUCUUAAAGUUUGACUACUACUACUACUGUUGCUCGACAUUCUAAAUAGAUGAAAACCUUUCAUCUUCCAUGAAACUCCCUCAAAUCAUACAUCCUCUAAAAUUCAACUAAAAAAUCCCAAAAAAAAAAUUGAUUCAUUUUUGCGAUUUUUUUGCGAGAUUAGUGAUCAACUGCGGACUUUUUAAUUGUGGCUAUAUCUCUUUGGUGGUGAAAGUUUUUGGGCUCAAAAGUUAGGGUUUUUCGACCGAUUUUUUUGACGAAAGUCACGCAAUCCAUGAGGCUAAUUGUCUAAAAUUGACCUCUACAUGAUAACUAAGUAUAGUUGGUCUAUCUAUCUUUGGCCAAUGCUCGUAAUCAGGGAUGGAGUUGAUUGAAUUCCCGUAUGCUUGUUUGUAAAUUUGCACCGAGUACCAUGUACUGCAAAAUUUGUAUGGGUCCAAUCCAGAAGACAUUAUUGCUCUUAGUGCAUGUCUGCAAGGGAAUCCUGAUAUUUGUCAUGCCCCGCAUAUGCCCUGAUAUUUGUAUGGGUCCAAUACAGGUAGCAUUGGUUUUCCUUCUCUCACUUCAUACUCACCUUCUGUACUCUGGUAAGCUUUUCAAGUUUUUGAUUCAAAAGUAAGCUUUUGUAUCCUCUUCACUACAUUACGGCAUGGCUCAUACUCAUUCUAAUCCUUGCAUUUUCUGUCUUCUUGUUGCUAGUUUAACCAUGCACAUUCUUCUUAUUCCUCUUACAAUUGAAAAUAAUAUGAGUUAGGUACAAUAUUGUAAAAUAGAUACAUGAAACAAGUUUGAAUUACAGAAUAUCAUACCUUCCAAAAGUGUCAAUACAGGCAUGCAUCUAUCCACUCCCAAAGUGGCAUUAAAACUCUACAAAAUUUGUCUUGUUCUCAUCACUGCAAAUUUUGGGAUCAAAUUUAUGUUUUGUCCAUCUUGAUUGAUCCCCCAAAUUAGACAACCAAACACAAGCAUCUGGAUUAACUUUCUGAAUUCUUUCCAUUGCCUUUUUAAAUGUGAAAGGAGAAGUGGCACUACAAGCUAGCCAAAACAAUGAAUACAUUGAUAGGCUGCCUAUUUUCAUCAUCAUGCUGAUCUACACUAGCGUGCCUACACCUAACUGCUGCAUUAAACUCCUCCUCUGUGACAACCAUAGCAUCAAUCUCUCUUUGGGUGUUAAGUAAGCCCUCCUUCCUUGUCGUGGUCUUAGGUAUUUUGUGAAGGAUUAAAGCUGAGCUAUUUGAAACACUUAAGGAAUGUAAAGGAGUAGGUGAUGGCUGUUUAAUUACAAGUGGUGCAUUAGAGAAAGAUUGUUGUUGGAUAGUAUUGUGUUUAGUACUAGCAAGUUCAAGCUUCCUCUUGAUAGAUAACUUUCUAGGUUUUACAGCUUUACCCUUACCCUUUUUUUCUCAUUUUUCUAAACCAUUCUCUAUCUCAAUGUCAUUCCAGAAAUGUUCUAUGCUAGGAGUAUACUCACAAUCAUUAUUCACCACCAGACUCUUAUUAGCAACUGAUUUAGUAAGCCUUCUAGCAGCAAUAACACAAUCACUAGCCUUAUCAACUGUACCAAUCCAAACUGUUAUAACUUUUCUACUACUUAGCCUAUCUAACAUAGACAUUAAAUCACUAUUAGAAGUAAUAACAUCUUUCAUGUUAUAGGAGUAGUGAAAACUAGGGAAUUUAGGGUAAUGGUAGUUAUUUUUCCGAAAUCCUUCCUCACAUUCAAUGAUCAAAUCAAUCCACAUAACCUUGUCAACAUCUUCAAUAGACACAUUCACUUCAUUACCCAUAUAAUUGAAUUUACCAUCACUUGAUCCAUCCGCAACAACAAAAAUUUAAAGCAUACACUUCAACAUCACCGCACAAAGUAACACAUGUUAAGCAACAUAAGUAUGAAAUUCACUUGAUACCUAAUAACACUACAACAACAGAGCAUGCAAUUGACCUAAUACCUCAAUAAGUAUAAAAACAACCAAAAUUUGACUAGAAAUUAAUCGAAAUACCUUUGUUAUGAUCUGCAGAUAAAUUUUAGACAAUUAGCCUCCUAGAUUGUGCGAAUUUCAUCAAAAAUGAGAUCAUAAAACCCUAAUUGUCCAACCCAAAAACCACACUACCAAAGAGAUAUUGCCGCAAUUUAAUCGUCCACAAUUGAUAAACAAUCUCACAAAAAAAUCG